Molecule: non-coding RNA, 31 nt
Filed under: Homo sapiens (human)
Lineage: Eukaryota; Metazoa; Chordata; Mammalia; Primates; Hominidae
Source: RNAcentral
UGAGAGGUGCAUCUUCUGGCUCACUUUCUUC